RNAcentral lists this ribosomal RNA (446 nucleotides) under uncultured bacterium. RNAcentral's name for it is "bacterial SSU rRNA". It matches the Rfam family "Bacterial small subunit ribosomal RNA", at positions 39 to 468 of the family's 1533-position model. The record is from RNAcentral.
GAAUUCGAUUCAGGCCUAACACAUGCAAGUCGAACGAGAUUAUAGGGUAAGCUUGCUUACCUUAUAUGACAGUGGCGCACGGGUGCGUAACGCGUAUGCAAUCUACCUUAAUCAGGGGGAUAGCCUCUCGAAAGAGAGAUUAAUACCGCAUAACAUUAUGAUAUGGCAUCAUAUUAUAAUCAAACAUUUAUGGGAUUAAGAUGAGCAUGCGUGACAUUAGCUAGUUGGUGAGGUAACGGCUCACCAAGGCAACGAUGUCUAGGGGAUCUGAGAGGAUGACCCCCCACACUGGUACUGAGACACGGACCAGACUCCUACGGGAGGCAGCAGUAAGGAAUAUUGGUCAAUGGACGCAAGUCUGAACCAGCCAUGCCGCGUGCAGGAAGACGGCCCUACGGGUUGUAAAGUGCUUUUAUACGGGAAUAAACCUUCUUUCGUGAAAGAAG